Schistosoma haematobium is the source of this 45-nucleotide non-coding RNA. NCBI's taxonomy places the organism in Eukaryota, Metazoa, Platyhelminthes, Trematoda, Strigeidida, Schistosomatidae. The record is from Rfam.
AUCCAGCUGACGAGUCCCAAGAGGGGCGAAACGCCUGUCGUGGAU